RNAcentral lists this long non-coding RNA (3755 nucleotides) under Triticum aestivum (bread wheat). Its description in RNAcentral is "long non-coding RNA (TAES_LNC020001)". Lineage: Eukaryota; Viridiplantae; Streptophyta; Magnoliopsida; Poales; Poaceae. The record is from RNAcentral.
UAUAGCAAAAGCAAGGAACUGUUGUUGCAUAAGAUAAAUGUAUGCCUAAGUUCAAUACAAAGCAUGGAGAUUCAAUUUGUACCAAAAGUAACACAGUAGUUGCCUAAAGAAAGCUUAAUUGCAUCAAGUUCAACAAAAACACAUAGAUCCAAGAUAUCAAAAGCAGAGCAGAGUGGUAUAUAAUGCGCAACAUGAUAUCUUCAAAUCCGAGCAUUGUGUUGUUACAUAGUUUAGUUUUAAAGGUCCAAAUCCACCUUCAAGAAAAGAAAAAGGAAGAGUCAAUCAGUGAGAAGUACACAAAACUUGCUCGUUAAAAAACAAAACUAAUUUUUUUGUAGCAUAAUAUGACAUCAGGCAUGAUCUGUUUUUUAGUAGUCCCUGUUUAAGUAUUAGCCUUAACAUUAAUUUCAUAAUCGAUGUCGAAACAAAAGGAAAUAAGCAGUGAAUUGUUGAUUCACAUGCAGUAAAUAUUUCUCUACAAUGGGAAUUUAAAUCAAUCCCUGCCCUCAACCUUUCCAUUUGGUGAUCGAAUGAACAAUCAGAAUCCGGUUUUAAGAACCACAGUGACCGAUGCAAUAAAUAUCACAAGUCCCAGAAAACCAAAUAAACUUUGUAUGCUAGCGUCAAUUUGCAUAACCUUAGGAUUUCAAGAAUUGUUCCAUGCAGCCGUCAACAUGCUAACUCAACCAAAUUUCUGAUAAAUGCUACUUUCUAAAUCAAUGAAUAUUAAUAUGGGUCGAAGGGAGUAACAUAUUUCUCAUUAUACGUGGCAAAAAGAAUUCUACUGAAAGCUCGAAUAUUUUUUCACUCACUAAUGUGCAAUAUAUUAUUACAAAGUCAAGUAGUACACAUGUAUGCUCAAAUUCAUGAAGCAAGUGACAUGCGAUGAGUAUUUGGAAGAUAAGAUCAACAUAAAGCUUCAAUGUGUAUUCAGCAUGAACUCACCAUCUUUUGCUACACGACAUAAGCCUAGGAUAACAACAUGUGAACAUUGAAGAUACGCCUUGCAAAAACUAUGACCAUCAUGCCUUGCUCAACUCAACCUGCACAGAAAAGGCAACAUAAGAUUAUUUCUGGCAAACGCAACAGAAGUUGGAGAUAAGUAAAAUCUUUCUAGGCAAAUAGCUAUAUCGAUCUAACCAAGCAUGAUUCAAUCAAAAUGUAGGCAAGACUUACAACAGAUUUUCUUUGCAUCAAGUUGAUAUUUUUCUGAUCUUAUAUUUUGUUAGUGAAUUGUACAUAAGGAACAUAUAUUUUAUGUAUGUAAAUUGAACAUUGAUGAAGUUGAGAGACAAUAGAUAGAUUAAGAGGGAGCGGUACUUAAUGUGUUGCACUGUGCUAGUCUAAAAAUAUACUUAGUGUAGUAUGUCUAUAGUCUGGAAUAAGAGCAUACAUGUUACUCCCUCAUUGGCUCAUUGCAUUGUUUACCUACAUACAAACAUUUGUACUUGGUACUGGUGCAAAAAAAUAGUGCCACAGAUAUCACACCAGAAUUUGUGAAGAAAAUGGAGACACUGACAUCAUGUUUCUAGUAGUACAGUUGCGUUGCAUAUUUUGGUUACCUGACAUAAGCAUUCUUCACUUGUUUUCUUUCUUCCAUACGCACUGCAAAUAAAAAGUGGAGCUAGAGUAAAAUAGAAGAAUUUGUAUUGUGAGACAACCGAGAGGACAAGAGAAUACUCUGACAAAUCAUUGCCAGGUUCAUACUCCCUCCGUUCCAAAAUAGAUGACCCAACUUUAGAUGACAAAUCAUCUAUUUUGGAAUGGAGGAAGUAGAUUUUAAACCCAACCAAGAUGAAUAGACCCAAAUGUCACCUUACUUUGGUGAGAAUACUCCUCUCUAAUUGUCCAUCCUUCAACAUGGUAAUCUUCUCAACAUCACAAGUCGAUCUGCAAUGACAAAAGCCAAGCAUCGGCAUCAUAGGAGGAGGAAAUAAAUGUUUGAUCUUUGAGAUAGAAGGCAAAUGGUACUAAAGAUCUCUAAUCAGCCCCAUCGCAACAUAGUAAUAUGUGGAGUUACACAAUAACAUACCACUCUUUUUAUAUAACUAACAUUUGUGUUAUAAAGCCGGACCAUAGAUGAUCCUAUGGAUGGCACUCAAGAUUUUAGCCAAAUUUUGAGAAGUCUUCAUACACCUACCGACAUAAACUCAAUAUAUGUAACCUUUAGCAAGAUAUCAUACAGUAAGCCUCACAAACUCUCCUAUUUAUCCAGAUAACAACAACCAAUAUUCUAAGACUCAGACUAAAGUGUUACAUUGUUUUAUAGGGACACCUGAUUUUUGCAGACUAUAGUGUUAUAUUUAUUUUCUAGAAAGUGUAUGCUCUCUCAGUUGAAUCGAAAACCAGCCUCGACCCAGAGUAAUCUUAAUUAUAAGGCCAAUGUAAUGACAAAAUAUAUGGCAACAUGCUAUAUUUCAACUUUGCAAGCAUCAACGUAUUGCCAAUGUUCAGUUCAGGUAUAAGGGCUUCUAUAACUGGAUUUCCAUCCACCAUCAGUUGAGACUAUCUAUACAUGCACUUCAUUGGAAAUAACGUGAUACCUUUAAGAGGAGCAGCAACCUCAUCAAAUCCCACGGAGCCCAAAAUUAGCAACUUGCAGUCACCAUGGCUUGCAUGAUGUCCAACGGUCUCCAGUGGGGUGUCAGACGUGAUGGCCGACCACUGCUUCCGCUCCUGGUUGCAGCACCUCGGCGCUAGCCACGGAGCCGCUCUGCUGCAAACAAUGACCUGGGGAAUUCCAAACAUGAUCAACAUUUCCUCCGGCCGGCUAGUAUAUGAAAUGCAGCUCAGAAGAUUCUUCUCGAAUUAGUAAGAUAUGCGAGCUUGAUACUUUUCCCAUCUACUUAUCUACUUUGUGGAGUUGUUUGACAUAAGCAAGGUGGAGGGGUGUAUAAAAGCAGGAGAUGCUAGCAUUUUACGUUGUGAAUGUACAGUACAUCCCUUCAUUAUAAUUUUUCUAUCAUGCCAAUGGAGUGGCAAAACAAUAGAUAAACAUCAUUGAACAUCUCAGGAUCCAACGACUACAUUAAGUAACAUGUUAAUAGUAUAGUAAUUUUCUCAUGUAUAAUCAUACUACUAUCACUACAGCAUCACAAACUAAACCUAGUUGUAUAACAAUCAGAUUGAAUGAUAGGGGCUUUUGCCUCCAAUUUCCAUGUAAAAUAGAAUCAGCAGUACAGGCAUGUAUGCACAUUAACUUUUUUUUGUUUGUGAAAAAGGGCAAAAACAUUGGUAGUAGUUCCAGCUAUUUAUGUUACUGGAAGUACUGCCAAUGCUUUUGUCAUGUAAAAUAGAAUCAGCAGUACAGGCAUGAAGACACAUAUCAGCAUGUUUAGCAAUAACAUGGAAAGAAAGAUAGGGAGAACACCUUUGUAUCAUCUACUGUAAGCCGGAAGACAUGAGACCUCACAUUUGAAGGAGAAAAACAUUAGUAUGGAAUCUUGCCAUGAUUUAUAAUGUAUAAAUAGCUUACGAUUAUUUUUGCAAAAAAAAAUAGCUUGCGAAUAGGGAAAGCUUUUAUUUCGGGCAUCCUAAUUUUUGGUAUCUCCCUAAUCCAGUCCCACAACUCAACAUAGGAUACAUGACAGUGGGCAUCAACGCAUCAUUAUACCAAAACAAAGGAGAAAAUAGAAGAACAGAAAAAGAUUAUGUUCGAGUAAAUACUACCUGAAAUAUCAUGAUAGUAAUUUAGAUUGUCCUUUGGUGCUCAACUAUUGCCCAAAGAUCCCUUGCCAAUAGAACCGAGAGCAAAC